GAGCUAAACAAAGUAAAUGUGCAUCAAA
RNAcentral lists this small RNA (28 nucleotides) under Bombyx mori (domestic silkworm). RNAcentral's name for it is "ovarian small RNA-15845". Lineage: Eukaryota; Metazoa; Arthropoda; Insecta; Lepidoptera; Bombycidae. The record is from RNAcentral.